This 1680-nucleotide unclassified non-coding RNA is filed under the name Homalodisca vitripennis (glassy-winged sharpshooter). Its description in RNAcentral is "heterogeneous nuclear ribonucleoprotein A1, A2/B1 homolog, transcript variant X1". The record is from RNAcentral. Lineage: Eukaryota; Metazoa; Arthropoda; Insecta; Hemiptera; Cicadellidae.
GAUGGAAGAAUUUAGAUUCAAUUCAUCCGCCAUCUUGUUCUUCUUCUAUUCUAAUCUGUUAGGCGAGAUCGUGAGGCUUUGGCGUUGCUUGUGUCAUUUACGUAGUUUUUAUAUUGGCAUUUGUGAGAUAUAUUCAAAGUUAUUAAGUGCUGUGUAUUUCUGAAUCAUUUGAAGUUCUACUUUUUUAUCAAAACAUGCCUGGAAAAGGGGAUCGAGAUGAUAUGGAUUUAGAACCUGAACAAAUGCGUAAAAUAUUUAUUGGUGGCUUGGAUUAUGGGACUACAGAAGAAACACUGGAAGCUUACUUUGAACGCUGGGGUGAUAUUGUAGAUUUGGUGGUAAUGAAAGAUCCAUACACCAAGCGAUCUCGAGGUUUUGGAUUUGUCACCUAUGCGCAUUCCGAGAUGGUUGACGAGGCAAUGUCACACAGGCCUCAUAAAAUUGAUGGUCGUGAGGUGGAAACAAAGAGGGCUAUACCGAAAGAUGAGAUAGAGAACAUUCCUCAGCAAGCGAUGGACGUGAAGAAACUAUUUGUUGGUGGCCUCAAACACUUAGAGGAUAGUGACCUUCAGGAGCACUUUACUCAGUUUGGAAAUGUUGUCUCUUGUGAUAUAAUUGUCAAUAGAGACACUGGUGUCAAGCGAGGAUUUGCUUUCAUAGAAUUUGAUGAUACCGAUGCAGUGGACAAAGUCAUUUUGCACAAGAAACAUGAAGUAAAAGGUGUUCGUCUCUUCGUGAAGAAAGCUGUUGAGUGGACUGAGGUGAAAAAAUCUAAAGAUGGCUUCCGAUCUCGUGGAGGUUUCCGAGGUGGAAGGGGUGGCCGAGGAGGUCGGGGAGGGGAUGAUUUCUAUGAGCGGCGAGGCGGCGGUGGAUAUCGGGACGAUUAUGAAGGUGGACGACGUGGUGGCGGAAGAGGCAGAGGAGGGUUCCGACGUGGGGGAGACUUUGACAUGUAUGACUCUGGUUACCGUGGUGGUGGUCGGCGAAGCUACCGAGACGAUGAUGACUGGGAUGAUAGGCCACCACGGCGAGACUUUGGCCGCCGUGAUGAUGACUGGGAAAUGGAUCGUCCCAGUCGCCGUUUUAGGGAUGAUAGCAUGGACCGUGGAUAUGGAGGUGGUGGUGGUGGAGGCGGUGGCGGAGGUGGCGGAGGUGGUGGCGGUAGGUGGGAAAGUGAUUCCCCCAAGAAAGUCGGUUGGGGAGGAGGUGACUCUUGGAGACGAGGCUCUCCAGAUAGAGGUGACUCAGGUUUCGGAGGAGGUAACAGAUAUGGUGGAGGCCCAGUCAGAUCCAGUUUUAAUUCUUCAAACCGCAGUGCACCGUAUGACACAUCUUACCCUCUCAACCGCCGAGGCAGAUACUGAGUUUCUAAGUCGAUCAUGUUCUGUAUACUUCUAAUAAGUGAAGUUUUGCGGAGGUGGUGCCACGGAUCAUCUGACAAGACAGACAACUUUCAGAGCCGAUGUCACCACUAAACACCGGAUAAAACUGAUGGCAUUUGGAGCGGAUAUCACUAAUCAUCUCCACUACAUUUGCAGAUUGGAUAUACAUUUGAGGUACUUUUAUCAGCUGAAGAUAAUAUGACUGUUUUAGGUGUGAACUCAAGUGAAAUAUAAUAAGAUGUAUUUUAACUGUUAAAUAAUGUUUUAACACUAUGAAAUAUAUUCUUGAUGUGACUUA